AACGGCCUUACCAAGUUGAAAACACCGGUUCUCGUCCGAUCACCGCAGUUAAGCAACGUUGGGCGUGGUUAGUACUUAGAUGGGUGACCUCUUGGGAACCCCACGUACUGUU
RNAcentral lists this ribosomal RNA (112 nucleotides) under Cornitermes ovatus. The record is from RNAcentral. Lineage: Eukaryota; Metazoa; Arthropoda; Insecta; Blattodea; Termitidae.